Molecule: long non-coding RNA, 1742 nt
Organism: Anastrepha obliqua
Lineage: Eukaryota; Metazoa; Arthropoda; Insecta; Diptera; Tephritidae
Exons: 2
Source: RefSeq, a predicted model, not a curated record
CAUUCAUAAAGUGAUUCUCAUUCAUUAUUUUCUACUCUAUUACUUUGCCAACGCAUUAAAGUGGCUAAAAAGGGCUGAUUACCACAAAAUUGCCACAACAUAUUUUCCAAAUUCACAAGAAACGGAUAUCCUCAUGUGCUCUAUAUCUUCCUUAUCAACUAAACUCAUACGCACGCCAACACAACGCCCUGGCGGGGCGACGUAUGGGUAUUGUAUGGACCUGGUGGUGCACAUUUGUGAUAAGAAAAAACCAAUCAAACGAAAUUAAAUCGAAUACGCAAUAGAAUGAUUAAUUUCAUUGAACGCAGCUUGAAAGAAUUACUUUGCGCUCAGGCGGAAAAUUUAAAUUACAUUAAAGAAAGUGUCGUACAUGCGUGUGGUGUAAGUGAAAGGACACGCUUUCAACGAAGCAUAACACAGAAAGCUGUAUGAAAAGUAUAAAAGCGCAAAUUUCCGCUGACUUAGAACUUAGUGACUGAAUUGUCAGCUACUUGUGGUGAACAGAAAAUUAUAUUGUGGACUCUAAAUAUAUUCCAAAGCGCAAUUUCUGGUUGUCUCAAAGAAAGAAAUUUUAGUGGAGAGGAAAAGAGAAGAGUAGAAGAAAAAAAUGGGAUGACGAAAGUGGGCCAAAAAAGGGCUGGCAUGCCCAAAUGCUCAUCUCAUCACCUCUUAUUUUUGGCAUACCUAAUAUCUACUAAUUAAAUGAUUUUUUUACAUUGAUUUUAUGCAUAUAAUACUGGCGUAUUCGCACAGCCAAUAUCAGCCGAAACCAUCCAUCAACGCAUGCACUGGAAAUUUAUUGCAAACUGGACACUUACUAUGAAUUCUGCAUUUCUAAAGCAUCUGCACAAAUUUUAUACAAAAAAAAUUAUAAUGACUUAUUCCACAAAAAGGUUUUGUUUCCAAUCUUAAAUGUAUUUGUAUGUAUUUCUACAUAUCUACACUUUUAAAUUAAUUUAGCAAAAAUCGUAUGAAACGGAUAACUUUCGAGCGUUGUAAAUUGGACUACCCUACUAGAUGGAAAUGUGAAUCACAAUAAAUAAAUUUAGCAAGUAAGAUGAAAGUUGCACAUAUUGUAGCUAAAACAUCAUUAAAUCACGAUAUACUAUACUAAAAAUAAUACCCAUACUACAUAUACACAUAUAUUAGCCAACUACUACAACUUACUACUUGUUGCAAAAUAAAAAUUAAAAAAAAAAAAAUUUGGAAUUGAAGAAUGUGAGAAAAAUUUGAGGUUAUGCACUGACCAAAUGUGCAUGUAUAUCUAUGUAUGUAAAAAUCAAAAUACUGAAAAAUGGCAAAUCAAAAUAAAUCAUUGUGUGUGUAUUGAUUAAAAUUUAUUAUGCUCUAAUCAGUCCUUGCUCAUAAAUUAUAAACUAAAAUGAAAAUAUUUAAAGGCAUUAAAACAUGUUGCUGUUGUUUGGGAUUACAAAAAUUAAUUUCAAAAUUUAAUUGCAAAAAUCCAAUAAUUUGGCAUCAAAAUUCAAAGUUGAAAAUAUCUGUAAAUUAUGUAUUUGUUGUUAAUUGACUCUAUGUAAAUGCACCAAUACGGCGAUACAAGAAAUACAUACAUAUGCAUUACGCAAUUUGAGGAGAAAUGGAUGUUAUGAAAUAUAACAGCACAAAAGAAAGAUGAAUAUGUAUAUACAUAAAAAUACUUUAACGUUACAAUAUGCUACCUACUUAUAAAUGUGUGCUUUUAGUUAAAAAUAUAUGUGACUUACGUGUUGGGUGAAGUGAAA